AUCACUGCCCGGCGCGUGGCUCAGGCUCGGGCGGAGCUGGAGACGCGUGGAGCUGUUCGAGGACUCGCGGGUGUGCAGUGCACCUAUGAUAUGUGUUUUAGAAAUAGCUGUUAAACUUUGGUUUGAAUGAAGAAUGUCUCUCAAUCCACCUAUAUUUCUCAAACGAAGUGAAGAAAAUAAUUCAAAAUUUGUGGAAACAAAACAGUCACAAACUACUUCCAUAGCUUCAGAAGAUCCCCUUCAAAACUUAUGUUUAGCAUCUCAAGAAGUUCUUCAAAAAGCUCAGCAAAGUGGAAGAUCAAAAUGUCUCAAAUGUGGUGGUUCCAGAAUGUUCUACUGCUAUACAUGUUAUGUUCCAGUUGAAAAUGUACCCAUUGAACAGAUUCCACUUGUGAAGAUGGGACCAUCAAGUUGCAGGAAAACAAGCUCAGGGCUCCUGCUGAUUUUACAUUAUGCUUCCAUUGAAGAUUGACAUCAUUAAACAUCCAAAUGAAACAGAUGGCAAAAGUACUGCUAUACAUGCAAAACUCUUAGCACCUGAAUUUGUAAACAUUUACACGUAUCCUUGUAUUCCAGAAUAUGAAGAAAAGGACCAUGAAGUUGCACUCGUUUUUCCUGGACCUCAGUCUAUCUCAAUAAAAGAUAUUUCUUUUCAUCUGCAAAAAAGGAUUCAAAAUAAUGUUAGAGGCAAAAAUGAUGACCCUGACAAGCCAUCUUUUAAACGCAAAAGAGCUGAAGAACAAGAGUUCUGUGAUUUGAAUGACAGCAAGUGCAAAGGCACAACACUGAAAAAA
Molecule: small RNA, 794 nt
Filed under: Pongo abelii (Sumatran orangutan)
Lineage: Eukaryota; Metazoa; Chordata; Mammalia; Primates; Hominidae
Description: processed transcript
Source: RNAcentral